GCGCGCUACACUGAUGCAUUCAACGAGCCUUAGCCUGGGCCGAGAGGCCCGGGUAAUCUCCGAAACUGCAUCGUGAUGGGGAUAGAUUAUUGCAAUUAUUAGUCUUCAACGAGGAAUGCCUAGUAAGCGCGAGUCAUCGGCUCGCGUUGAUUACGUCCCUGCCCUUUGUACACACCGCCCGUCGCUCCUACCGAUUGGGUGUGCUGGUGAAGUGAUCGGAUUGGCCGUGGUGGGUGGGUCUCCACCCCCUCGGCCGAGAAGUCCAUUGAACCCUCCCACCUAGAGGAAGGAGAAGUCGUAACAAGGUUUCCGUAGGUGAACCUGCGGAAGGAUCA
This 335-nucleotide ribosomal RNA is filed under the name uncultured Jenufa. RNAcentral's name for it is "bacterial SSU rRNA". It matches the Rfam family "Eukaryotic small subunit ribosomal RNA", at positions 1493 to 1828 of the family's 1831-position model. The record is from RNAcentral. Lineage: Eukaryota; Viridiplantae; Chlorophyta; Chlorophyceae.